AAAAACUGGCCGCCCUCGCGGGUGGCCUGAUGGCAACCGGCGACCGCCUUCAGGUGGGAGCCGUAAGCCUAAACCCUUUGUGAAAAACCCCGGUUGCUUCGGCAGCUCGUCCGGCGCCCCUCGGGGACUGGACGGUCAGCCUGCCGACGGCACUCCAGGAAACCCUUUGCUGUAAAGAAAGCUUUUAAAAGAGCACCGUCUGAGCGCGAAGUCUAAUGACUAUAAAACUUUCAACAACGGAUCUCUUGGUUCC
RNAcentral lists this unclassified non-coding RNA (253 nucleotides) under rhizosphere metagenome. RNAcentral describes it as "partial ribosomal RNA internal transcribed spacer region". The record is from RNAcentral.